This 29-nucleotide small RNA is filed under the name Bombyx mori (domestic silkworm). RNAcentral's name for it is "ovarian small RNA-32639". The record is from RNAcentral. Lineage: Eukaryota; Metazoa; Arthropoda; Insecta; Lepidoptera; Bombycidae.
UGAUCCUAAUUUCAGCAAUUCCUUGGAUU